RNAcentral lists this unclassified non-coding RNA (358 nucleotides) under Sapindus saponaria. RNAcentral describes it as "partial external transcribed spacer". The record is from RNAcentral. Lineage: Eukaryota; Viridiplantae; Streptophyta; Magnoliopsida; Sapindales; Sapindaceae.
CUGUGUUGCUUACCAACGAAACGGAAGAGUUCCAUCGCGUUCGAGUGUGCUUCCGCUCGGCUCCCUCCGGGUGGUCGAGCGGACGACAAGCUGGCCUCGCGAUCCAGGCACGCCUCGCAUCGAUGCGCGGCUGCCGUGGCCCGUGGGGUUACGCUGGUUCUCUCGGAUACGGAUCGUAACGUGCGGGCGAGGGGCAACGUGUCCUCCAUUCGUCCGAGUCACGCAUCCGUCGAUCUCGACAGGAACGACCGCCGCGCCCGUCUUGGCUCCGGAGUCUCCCACGGCUCCGCGAGAUCCCAUGCGGGCGUCGGCGUCGUGAAGGAAACGCUACCUGGUUGAUCCUGCCAGUAGUCAUAUG